Molecule: transfer RNA, 68 nt
Filed under: Geoscapheus dilatatus
Lineage: Eukaryota; Metazoa; Arthropoda; Insecta; Blattodea; Blaberidae
Description: tRNA-Cys
Source: RNAcentral
AGUCUUGUAUUCAAUAGAAUGAUAAUCUAUUAUCAUUCUAUAGGAGUAAAUUUAACGAUCUAAGACUU